UCUCUUUUCACAGCUGGAGAGGCAUGGCUUUCUAGACAGAGAAAUAGGAAAAAACCAGUUGCUCCUGCUCCCCCUCCUCCACCGGCGUCAUCUCCUGUGAAUUCGGCACCUAUGGCUGGGAUAACUCCAGUGGAGGUCGCCG
This is a long non-coding RNA of Stylophora pistillata, 142 nucleotides long. NCBI's taxonomy places the organism in Eukaryota, Metazoa, Cnidaria, Anthozoa, Scleractinia, Pocilloporidae. The record is from RefSeq and is a predicted model, not a curated record.